AACGAACGCUGGCGGCAGGCUUAACACAUGCAAGUCGAACGCCCCGCACGGGGAGUGGCAGACGGGUGAGUAACGCGUGGGAACAUACCCUUUUCUACGGAAUAGCUCUGGGAAACUGGAAUUAAUACCGUAUACGCCCUACGGGGGAAAGAUUUAUCGGGGAAGGAUUGGCCCGCGUUGGAUUAGCUAGUUGGUGGGGUAAAGGCCUACCAAGGCGACGAUCCAUAGCUGGCCUGAGAGGAUGAUCAGCCACAUUGGGACUGAGACACGGCCCAAACUCCUACGGGAGGCAGCAGUGGGGAAUAUUGGACAAUGGGCGCAAGCCUGAUCCAGCCAUGCCGCGUGAGUGAUGAAGGCCUUAGGGUUGUAAAGCUCUUUCACCGAUGAAGAUAAUGACGGUAGUCGGAGAAGAAGCCCCGGCUAACUUCGUG
This 431-nucleotide ribosomal RNA is filed under the name uncultured bacterium. RNAcentral's name for it is "partial 16S ribosomal RNA". It matches the Rfam family "Bacterial small subunit ribosomal RNA", at positions 29 to 507 of the family's 1533-position model. The record is from RNAcentral.